AUUCGAGGGAAACAAGCUCUCAGGACUUCCGGUCGCCAUGAUGGCUGUGGGCGGUAAACACGCUUAGUGCAAGCAUCUGGGCCAUCUUCAAUGGUAAAAAAGAUACAGUAAAGACAUAAAUACCACAUUUGACAAAUGGAAAAAAAGGAGUUUCCAGAAAAGAGUAGCAGCAGUGAGGAAGAGCUGCCGAGACCGCACAGUGGAUCCAGUAGGAACACAGAUGCAUCCAAACUCAUUAGACUACAAGGACCACGGAAACUGUUGGUUGACAAUAGCAUACGGGAACUGCAAUACACAAAAACUGGAAUUUUUCUUCAGGCUGAGGCCUGUGUGACAAAUGAUACGGUAUACAGGGAGCUACCCCGUGUUUCUGAGAUCCGUUGUGACAUCUCACAUUUUUUCCAAGAUGAUGAUGAGACAGAGGCAGAGCCAUUAUUGUUCCGUGCUGUUCCUGAGUGUCAACUCUCUGGGGGGGACAUUCCCAGAUUUCAUACUACCAACGUGAAGCCCCUGAUGAGGGAGUUGAAAGAACACAUGCAGAAGUCUGUCAUCCUACUUUCACCACACAGAUAAAAGAGACAUAAAUAACCUCAAGGGCAUAGACUGCUGAAAAGUGUAGA
This 620-nucleotide small RNA is filed under the name Pan troglodytes (chimpanzee). Its description in RNAcentral is "processed transcript". Lineage: Eukaryota; Metazoa; Chordata; Mammalia; Primates; Hominidae. The record is from RNAcentral.